Micropterus salmoides (largemouth bass) is the source of this 1676-nucleotide long non-coding RNA. RefSeq lists it as uncharacterized. The record is from RefSeq and is a predicted model, not a curated record. The transcript has 5 exons. NCBI's taxonomy places the organism in Eukaryota, Metazoa, Chordata, Actinopteri, Centrarchiformes, Centrarchidae.
UGCUGAGUGGGAGGAUAUGGUGGUCUGCAGUAAGAGAAACGGUGUCUACCGCUUGGGAGUCUGCAGUGAGCGUGUGGUAGUCAGCAGAGACAGUCGAGUCAGUGCAGUUGUUGGACCACGAGGACCAACUGUGAGCUGCUGGAUGAACCGACAGUGGCGACAGUGGAAGUCCUGUGGUUAAGGCUGUAAACUGGAGGCACUGGUCUUUUAUUCAACACCACUCACGUCCAAAAAAACCCAUCUUGGGUAGGAGCUGCUGUCCGUCUGUGUCUGAUGUAGGAAGGGGUCACCUCGCUGCGAAAAGCCCGACUUUUAGAGAGCUUUCAGUUUCAGGAGCUGAUGAACAGCAGGUCUGUGUUUCAGUGACAUCCGCAAGGAUAACAACGCCUCUGCUGCUGGACGCCACUUGAUGUAAACUGACCCACUGGUCAAACGUGCAGCUGCAGUGAACUUCCUCUCUGUAGCCAUAUCUAGACUGAGGACGGCCCGUGUGAUGAUGAGAGCAGGCGGACAGCCAGCGGGCCGGUCUACCUGGACAUGGACUACCUGUUGCUGCUGCUGCUCUGGAGCUCAGGGGAACGCCACAGCGGACCAAAACAAACAUUAAUCUCUCAAUGUAUUGUUUAACUGACAUCUGCCACUGACGAGGGCAACUCCAGAGGAGAGAGCUGUUUGGAAAAGAGCAGGCUGACAAAGUGCCGUACGACCCAGAUGAGAAGUCUGCCUAAGUAUGUUUCCUCAUUAUGCUUAGUUGACACAAAGGCCAUGUAUCAAAAGGGAGUAUGACCCAGAAACUAAACAGAUACUGGUUCACAAAGGGGUUCUAUAACUUCUCCAAAAAUGUUGUCAGCAGUGACGGUGGCAGAAAGAGCAACUUGGAUUCAUGCUGCCCACUGCAAACGAGUGCAGGAGCAACCAAAUGGCCACAAACCAGGUGAAGAUCGAGAUCAGUUUUUAAUCAGCUACGAGGAAACGGACUGUACAGUGGGCACAAGUGGACAUACAGAGAUUGUCUGGACAGAUCAAAAGGAGACCUGGACUGAGCUGGAGGGGACGGACACUAGUGACAGGAUACAGCUGGACACACACACAGUGGGGGAGUCACAAUAAUAAACCUGAACAGCCUUCAGUUGUGAUGAAUGAUGACCGCAAAGAGUUUAUUAAACUGCCAAAGUAAGAGUCGGUAGAUUUUAACCUAGCAGGUGAAAAUGUUGCUGCAUCGUCUGUGGGAAACAGAGAGGGGCAGUCAGGAGGCCUGUAAAAGGAAAUCUAUGGUAGCAGGUUGCUGAAUUUGAAGACAUAGUAAUUAAACCUUAUUUCAGUUAUCAGAGCACUGAAUGAAGGACUUCUGUAAACACACAGCUGCUGCUGGGAGCGAGCGUGACACACACUCUCUACACAUGAUAGACUCACUGCAGAGUACACAGCUUUGAUGCUCAGGAAUCCAUUUUAUUUUGAUGAUUUAUGAAAUAGGGACAGUAAAAAUUGUCUUUUUUUUAAUUUAAUGCAACAGAUAAUCUGGACGAGGGGGGGCUGCCGCUGUUUGGUUUCUUUAUCUCCUCUAAUCUUAGCUGUACCAAGGGCGGUGUCUACAGAUGCCAAGAUGUCUAUGAAGAUUCUCAGUCAUCCAGGUCAUAGUUCUCCAACGAAGGUUAAAAUCAAGGGCAACUGGACUU